AGGGGUUUAGGUUACAUAGACCAAGAGCCUUCAAAGCUCUAAGCAAGUAAACUCUACUUAACCCCUGC
RNAcentral lists this transfer RNA (68 nucleotides) under Lepus yarkandensis (Yarkand hare). Its description in RNAcentral is "tRNA-Trp". The record is from RNAcentral. Lineage: Eukaryota; Metazoa; Chordata; Mammalia; Lagomorpha; Leporidae. RNAcentral also lists the same sequence under 3 other names.